Molecule: transfer RNA, 57 nt
Filed under: Ictidomys tridecemlineatus (thirteen-lined ground squirrel)
Lineage: Eukaryota; Metazoa; Chordata; Mammalia; Rodentia; Sciuridae
Description: Spermophilus tridecemlineatus (thirteen-lined ground squirrel) tRNA
Rfam family: tRNA
About the family: Transfer RNA (tRNA) molecules are approximately 80 nucleotides in length. Their secondary structure includes four short double-helical elements and three loops (D, anti-codon, and T loops). Further hydrogen bonds mediate the characteristic L-shaped molecular structure. tRNAs have two regions of fundamental functional importance: the anti-codon, which is responsible for specific mRNA codon recognition, and the 3' end, to which the tRNAs corresponding amino acid is attached (by aminoacyl-tRNA synthetases). tRNAs cope with the degeneracy of the genetic code in two manners: having more than one tRNA (with a specific anti-codon) for a particular amino acid; and 'wobble' base-pairing, i.e. permitting non-standard base-pairing at the 3rd anti-codon position.
Source: Rfam by way of RNAcentral
UAGCUCAGUGGUAGAGAACUUGCCUUGCAUGUAUGAGACCUUGGGUUCAAUUCCCAG